Molecule: ribosomal RNA, 407 nt
Filed under: uncultured bacterium
Lineage: Bacteria
Description: bacterial SSU rRNA
Rfam family: Bacterial small subunit ribosomal RNA
Source: RNAcentral
UUAGGAAUAUUGGGCAAUGGAGGAAACUCUGACCCAGCAACGCCGCGUGAAGGAAGAAGGUUUUCGGACUGUAAACUUCUGAUCUGAGGGAAAAAGAAAGUGAUGGUACCUCAGGAGAAAGCCACGGCUAACUACGUGCCAGCAGCCGCGGUAAUACGUAGGUGGCGAGCGUUGUCCGGAAUGACUGGGCGUAAAGGGAGCGUAGGUGGCGAUUUAAGUUAGAUGUGAAAGCCCGUGGCUCAACCACGGAACUGCAUUUAAAACUGGAUUGCUAGAGUACAGGAGGGGUAAGCGGAAUUUCUAGUGUAGCGGUGGAAUGCUUAGAUAUUAGGAAGAACACCAGAGGCGAAGGCGGCUUACUGGACUGCAACUGACACUGAGGCUCGAAAGCGUGGGGAGCAAACAGG